RNAcentral lists this ribosomal RNA (253 nucleotides) under uncultured bacterium. RNAcentral's name for it is "partial 16S ribosomal RNA". It matches the Rfam family "Bacterial small subunit ribosomal RNA", at positions 524 to 776 of the family's 1533-position model. The record is from RNAcentral.
UACAGAGGGGGCAAGCGUUGUUCGGAAUUAUUGGGCGUAAAGAGCUCGUAGGCGGUUUGUCGCGUCUGCUGUGAAAACCCGAGGCUCAACCUCGGGCCUGCAGUGGGUACGGGCAGACUAGAGUGCGGUAGGGGAGAUUGGAAUUCCUGGUGUAGCGGUGGAAUGCGCAGAUAUCAGGAGGAACACCGAUGGCGAAGGCAGAUCUCUGGGCCGUAACUGACGCUGAGGAGCGAAAGCAUGGGGAGCGAACAGG